CUUGCCUGGAAAUUAUAGACCUGUGAGCUUAACCUUUUUGGCUGGAAAAUUAUUUGAAAGGUUAUUAAGGGAUAAUACUCAAGAAUCCCUCGAAAAGAAUGUGGUUAUCAGCAAAAAUCAGCAUGGUUUUAUGAAGCACAGGUCAUGUCAAACUAACUUGAUUGCAUUCUACGAAGAAGUAAGUAGAAGUAUAGAUCAGGGUGUUGCAAAAUCCAAAUAGGUUAUGGUGGGGAAAACCCCUUCCACCUGAAGUCUGUGCUUCCCAAGCACUACCAGGCCUUAAUAAGAAAACCAGUAACCAACCUCAUGCUGAUGAUUUGCAUUAACAAUGAAACAGCUGUCCAUGAGUGGUUUACUGGCUUUGCAUCUUUUCCUAGGUUGUGUUUCAAAGCUGUUGUAUACAGCAAACACAGACACAAAGGAAUCCAUUUUUAAAAUGGAAUGAGGCAAAAAUGUGAUUCUUUGUUAAACUAAUUUGCAUAUGCCCAUCCAGACUCCUUUGCGGUAGUAACAUCACUGCAGAUUUGUAAUUUAUGUGGGAAAAGCAAGUCUUAUGGCUUGACUGGUGUACAAACUGUUAUUUAACUUUGUAUUAAAUAUUAUAUAUAUAUAUAUUUUUUUUUAUUUUUUUUAUACACACACAGACACAUUCUACAUAUAUAUUUAACUAAUAAUUACAUAAUUAUUUGAAUUUGAUUUUAUUAAUUACAAUUUGAGGAACCUGCCUGACAACCCAGACAGACAAUCCAGAGAAUUUAAUUGGUAAGCCCUACAUUUAACCCUAUUUAACAAAUAUGAACACUAACUUUGGCCAGCGUUUGUGACUAAGUGGCUACUACAAAAGACUGGAAAUACCCAAUUUUAAAUACCCUGGGUUGUCUACAUUCGAAAAUGUUAUUUCAUGAUGGGGUUAAUUCAUAUUCCUGGUCUGCCAUAUGGUCUCAAAAGGCAACAAAGACCCAGCAAACCAAUCUGGCAAACUGAAUAGGGCAAACCCUACAUUGACCCUGUAACUUUCCAAAACCCCAUAAAACCUGUAAAUGGGGGGUAUUGUUAUAGUCGGGAGACUUUGCUGAACAUAAAUAUGAGUGUUUAAAACAGUAAAACUUAUCACAAUGUUAAAAUCACUAGUAAAAGUGCAGGUUUAGUGUAAAAAAAUGCAAAAACAAAUAUGAAUGCUAAAUUUGGCAAGCGUUUGUGGCUACUACAAAAGACUGGACAUACCCCAUUUUGAAUACCUUGGGUUGUCUACUUUUUUCAAAUGGUAUAGCAUAGUGGGGUUAAUUUUCAUUUCUGGGCUGCCAUACUGUCUCAAAGGCAACAUAGCCAAUCUGGAAAAUAGCAAUUUACAAAAAGAAUUUGGCAAAAUGUUAUAUUUACCCUGUAACUUUCCAAAUCACCAUAAAACCUGUACUUGAGGGUACUGUUGUACUCAUGAGACAUUACUCUACACAAAUGUGAGUGUUUUAGAGCAGUUAAAUGUAUUAUUCUGCUAAUAUCAUCUAUGAAAUGGCAGUUUAUGUGUGAAAAAUGCAAAAAAAAAAUAUAUGAACACUAAUUUUGCCCAGGGUUUUUUUGACUAAGUGGCUACUAAAAAGACUGUACAUACCCCAGUUUGAAUACUGUGGGUUGUCUACUUUUACAAAUGGUAUGCCAUGAUGGGGUUAAUUUUCAUUCCUGGGCUGCCAUACGGUCUCAAAGGCAACAUAGCCAAUCUGGAAAAUAGCAAUUUACAAAAAGAAUUUGGCAAAAUGUUAUAUUUACCCUGUAACUUUCCAAAUCACCAUAAAACCUGUACUUGAGGGGUAGUGUUGUACUCGUGAGACAUUACUCUACACAAAUAUGAGUGUUUUAGAGCAGUAAAAUGUAUUAUACUGCUAAUAUCAUCUAUGAAAUGGCAGUUUAUGUGUGAAAAAUGCCAAAAAAAAUAUAUGAACACUAAUUUUGCCCAGGGUUUGUGACUAAGUGGCUACUAAAAAGACUGUACAUACCCCAGUUUGAAUACUGUGGGUUGUCUACUUUUACAAAUGGUAUGCCAUGAUGGGGUUAAUUUUCAUUCCUGGGCUGCCAUACAGUCUCAAAAGCAACAUAGGCUCAGCAAACCAAUCUGGCAAAUUUCAAUGUGCAAACAUGGAAAAGGGGAAAGUCCUGCAUGUGACCCCUGUAAAUUUGCAAAAACCCAUAAAACCUGUACAUGGAGGGCACUAUUGUACCCAGGAGAUGUUGCCAAACACAUAUUAGUGUGUUUUUGUCAGUAACACAUAACAGGAACUGAAAAACCAUGCCUAAAGUACAAUGUGAGAGAACAAUAACACAGAAAAUGACUACACAAAAGUUUGACUGGUAGAAGAAUUAGUGCAUGGAAAGUGUUAAAAUACCACCAUUUGAAAUACCCUAAGGUAAAUUACAAAAAUGUCCCACAUAGUACAUGGUGCAUAAUGACCAGCUGUGAAAAUUUCAAGUUGGAAAACUGGAAUGCGCAUCUCCAAAUAAAGUAUUUUAGCCCCCAGAGAUCCCGACACACCUAUUACUUAUUUUUUUUAAAUUUAGCAUAAAUUGUUGGUAAAAUGGUUGCAUGAAAAGAGUCAAAUUACCCCAAGUUUAAUACCUUUGGUUGUCUUUUAAAAAUAUAUAUACAUAAGAAGGGAUAUUCAGAGAUUCCUAAAAUAUAUCAGUGUUACAAUGUAACUUUCAUUAAUUUUGACAAAAAAAUUGUUUGGAAAUACCAAAGUGCUACUUGUACAUCUUGCCCUAUAACUUUCCAAAAAAAGCUAAGAACAUGUUAACAUUAGGUAUUUCAAAACUCAGGACAAAAUUUAGAAACUAUUUAGUAUGGGUGUUUUUUGACGGUUGUAAAUGCGUAACAGAUUUUGGGGGUCAAAAAUAGAAAAAGUGUGUUUUUUUAAAAUGUUUUCAUCAUAUUUUAGAAUUUGUUUUAUAGUAAAUUAUAUGAUAUGAUGAAAAUAAUAGUAUCUUUAGAAAGACCAUUUAAUGGUGAGCCAAACGGUAUAUAAUAUGUGUGGGUAAAGUAAAUGAGUAAGAGGCAAAUUACAGUUAAACCCAAACACCGCAGAAAUGUAAAAACAGCCCUGGUACUGAACGGUAAAACAUUUUUUAAACGAUCUGGUCACUAAGGUGUUAAAGACAUAUCACUGUGAGUAUGGUAUUCGGUUAGCUCUAUUAUAAAAUCAAAAACAUCAAAAUGUUUGAGCUCCUAGAAUAGACUGAGAAAUUUAGACCCACAAUAGGGAGUAUCUCUCCUACACAGGGUCACUUGGGACAAGGACACUUGGGAGUCAUGCAUACUAGAUUUUAUUAGCAUCUAACUGAAGGUGAACUAGGAAGUGCCUAAAUUAUUGAUGAUGUGUCUUGAGGACUUGACUGGUCUUGUGAAUGUCUAUCAUUGAUGCUGCAGAUACUUGUGGACAAGGCCGGCGCAUCCUAUAGGCCGAAUAGGCGGUCGCCUAGGGCACUGCUUAUGGGGGGUACCGGCAGCAGCUUUCCUGCUGUUUAGGCCGCCCCUCUAUGUGCGACUAAUUAUGGAUAUUGUGUGCCACUGGUUGAUGGCACCUGGCGCUAGGGAACACUUAUAUAGCUGCAGAUUAACGCCUGGUGCUAUCAACCUCCACACGCAAAAACAGAGAGCCACCCCCCACCCCACCCCACCCUAAUUUGCCAGCACCCAUGGACACAUAUUGCGAUCUCUCCCGCCCCUUUCCCGGUACACAGUGUCAAGUGGGCGGGAUAUUAGCGAUGGCGGGACUGAGAGAAACUCAAGUUAGCCAGGCACAAUCCAGAAGCCUGCAACCCACGGAUAGACAAUGUGAAAUUAAGGCAAGAGGGGGACUUAAUAGUGUGUAUCUGUGUGUAUGUGUGCUUUAAAGAGUGUGUUAGCCUGCUUCAGUUAAUAUGUGCGUGUCUGCUUGAGUUAGUGUGUGCAUGUGUGUGUCUGCUUUGAUCAGUGUGUGUGCUUGGGUUAUUGUGUGUGUGUAUGUAUACUUGGGUUAGUGUGCAUGUGUCUGCUUGAGUCAGUGUGUGUUUGCUUGGGUCAGUGUGUGUGUCUGCUUGAGUCAGUGUGUGUGUGUCUGCUUUACUCAGUGUGUGUGCUUGGAUCAGUGUGUGUGUGUCUGCAUCAUUGUGUGUGUGUGUCUGAGUCAGUGUCUGUGUCUGCUUGAGUCAGUGUGUGUUUCCUUGGGUCAGUGUGUUUACUUUGAUCAGUGUAUGGGCAUGGUUCAGUGUGUACAUAUGUGUGUCUGGAUCAAUGUGUGUGUGUCUGCUUGGAUUAAUGUGUGUCUGCUUGAGUCAAUGUGUGUUUGCUUGAGUCAGUUUGUGUGUCUGCUUGAGUCAGUGUGUGCUUGGGUCAUUGAGCGUGUGUAUGUCUGGUUGGGUCAGUGUGUGUGUGUGUGUCUGCUUGGGUUAGUGUGUGUGUCUGCUUGAGUGGAUGUGUGUGUGUGUGUGCUUUGCUCAGUGUGUGUGCUUGUGUCAGUGUGUGUGUGACUGCAUCAGUGUGUGUGUGUCUGGAUCAGUGUGCGUGUCUGCUUGAGUGUGUGUGUGUGUGUGUCUGCUUGGGUUAGUGUGUGUGUCUGCUUGAGUUAAUGUGUGUGUGUGUCUACUUUGAUUAUUGUUUGGGCAUGGGUCAGUGUGUGCGAGUGUGUCUGUGGAGCGAAUGGGGCAGCAAAAUUCCUUGCACUGGCCUUGCUUGUGGACUACAAUUUCCACGAUUCUCAACAUCUUUACAUCUUAAGUUCAUAAGAACCUAAUAAACAUAUGCAGUGCUGACUCACACAAGGUAAGUUCACACAAGCAUAGUGUUCUGUGACACACUUAAAUAAUAUAUGUAAACAUUCCAGAUGCUACAAAUUAAGCAUAUGUGUCUGUAACUAAAUGUCAGAAUCAGGAGGAAUGAGACUUGUAAAUUGCAAAAUUGAUUUAUUAUCACUUUUAAAAUAAGGAAAUUCAAUUAGAAAAUGGAAAUGUUUGCACCAAUGUUGAAACGAAGCGUGCUAGAAAGGAUGUAUAAUGUGAAGGCAAUAGUAGUCCCUAGUUGUGAUAACUGGGAGAGUGGAUGCAGCAUAUUCCAAGUGGGACAUGUGAGAUCUCUGUCCAGAAGGGUGAAUUUCUAGGAAUUGCAGAGCCCUAUAACUUCCAGGCCUCUGGUACUGAGAAUACACAAAAAAUGAGGAAGUAUAUAAUAACCUUAGAAGUUACAUAGCUAUGUAUCAUAGCACAAAAUCUAAAUUGAAUACAUCAACAUUAUUUAAAGGUAUUUAAUAAUGUGAGAAUUCAAAGUGAAUAAUUUCAAAUUUAAGGCAAAAAUUGUUAAACUAUAAGAACAGCUGACUUGGAGAAUUUUUUACUAGUUUGGCAAUUUUAUCCCUAAAUUGUAAAAUUAUAUUGAAUUCAUUUUGAAUUUCCUAAAAUUUUUUAACCUUGUUAUUAACCCUAAUUGUACACACUGUUACUAUAUCUUGUUAUUGCCUAUCACAGGGGAAGUAAACAUGCAGGUAUUAGUUUUAUGCUCAAGGUAAGCCGUGACUAAUCUGUGCCUGCUCAGUAUCUAUGUAAGCAGACGUUGUUGGUCAGAUUGUAAAAAAUAGAAACAUGGUUGGAAUCCAGACGAUAAUUAGUAGCCACUAAUAAGGAUGUGCAUGAGCAAAAAAUUUGGGUCGGUUCAGCCCUUCCAAAAUGCAGGAAUCCGGCAAUUUGGGACUUCGGCAAUUCGGUACUUCGGCACAUCCGAAAUUCAGGACUUCUGCAAUUCCCUAACCCUACCCCUAUCUCUAACAUUAGCCCUAACCCUAACACUAUCUCUAACUCUACCCCUAACUCUAUCCCUAAACUAAUCCCUAACCCCAACCAUACUAGGGUUAGGAGUAGGGUUAGGGUUGGGGGUAGGGUUAGGGCUGGGGCUAGUGGUAGGGUUAGGGUUAGGAUUAGAUUCCUGUCAUCAUUCCCUUCAUUUUCCCUCCCUCUCCUGUUUUGCCACUUUUCAGAAAUCCAAAGCACUUUGGCACUUCGGUUCGGCACUUCCGAAAUUCAGCAACUCCAAUUUGUUUUGGCACUUCUGAAAUUCGGCCGAAGCAUCCAAAUGUCUGAAUUGCCAAAAUUCAUCUAAAUUUUAAUUUGAACCAAAACAAAUCACACAUGUCUAGCCAAUAAUAAGUAUAGGCUGUUGUGAAUAGAGACAUCUUACAGCAGCCAUUUACUGACAAUGUUUGAACAAACUUGUAGUGUGAAAACAGGAACUUACAUAACAUGCAGUGGUGGAAAUAAAGUAGAGAGUGUAGUAUUGUGUUAUAUGUUUUUUAUGUACUGUUCCCAUUUGAAUGCAGUGGUUUACUUGUGUGCAGUGUUUGCCUCUGGAUGUACAGGUGUGUCUGUAUGUAAUGUUGAUGAUUGAAUGCAGGGGUGUAUUUGUGUGUAGUGUUAGAGUUUGAAAGUAUACACAUAUACAUAUACACUGCCACAAAAGCACUGAUACACAUACACUGACACACAUCCAGAUACACAUACUGACACAGACGUACAAAUAUACAGACACACACUGACACACAUACACAUACACAGACAUACAGAUAACGACACAUACAGAUACACUGACACACUGUCAGGAAUCUUACCUUGAGGAGGAGUCCAACACACAGAGUUAAAGCACCCUUUGCAAUUUGACACAAACCAAGGAGACUGAAGGCAAAAAUCCCCAAGGCUGUGAAACAGUGCACUGGGGCUGAUAAGACACAGUGCUUCCAGAAAUGCAGUACAGGCAAGGAUAAUCCAAGAAGAGUAGUUGUGGUCGAAAUCAACAGUCAGGACAGGCGGCAAACAGGCAGAAACACAAGACAAAUAAAUACACUGACAUACAUAUAGACACACAUGCAAAAUGCACACCUUUUGGAUGCAGGAUGGUGGCUUCCCUGGGGUUUAGUCAGUUGGUUAAGGUUGUUGGAAGUCAGAGGUUCUCCAACUUUGUGUCCCUCCUCACUGACAAUUGUCACUUCCUCUCAGUGCUGAGGAGAUCACAGGAGUACUGCUGUUAAAGGACUGCAGUGCAUGACUGGGCCCCUGAAAACACUUUGCCAUCGAGUGGUCCAUGCAUUUAUAGCCACCCGUUGGCAAAGUGUUUUCAGGGGCACCGGCAGUAGUUCCACUUCUGAUAAUGUGGUAAACCCAGGUGUCACGUUGUAAACAUAGGAAUCCUGAGGUUCACCACUCUUUCCUUUUCAUGAAGUAACUCAUACCAUCCCUUCCUGAAAAUCAUAAACUAGAUUGCAUAAAGACAUGAUUGAAUUAAGCUGUUUGGGGGUAUAGAUCAUGCCCCUGUAGUAUCACUGCUCAAUUACCUGUUGUUUAGACUAGGUUGCUGUAGAUGCAAGAAGGCCAUUAACGGAGCAGGAGACACAUUAUGAAAUAAAUACACUGGGGGUUAUUCACUUAAGUCCGAAUUGCCUCAUACCGAAUGGGGCAAAAUCAUCCAGUUGCAUACGGGGCAAUAAAACUGCAAUAAAAGGAUCAAUAUUUGCUCCGCGAGGGCUUGCCAUAGACAGAGCUAUCAUAGUAGUGAAAUAACUUAUAAAGGCUUUCUCGUGAUAUGUAAGCAAAUAUCUUGUGUUGGGUAAUUUCCUAUGCAAUAUCAGAGUGCUCUGUUUGGUUGGCUUGUAAACUAACCAAUCAUAGCUCUUUGACAGAGAAGUCUCGAGAGAAGUGAGAUUUGAUAGCUUACAUAAUGUUUUGAAUGUCUUCAUAAGGACUUUCUCCGCUAUGAGAGCUCAGUCUACAGCAAGUCCUUAAGGGGUGAAGAUCAAUUAUUUUUAUUGCAUUGCAUUUUUUUUUGCAUUUUUAUGAAUGAGGAUUUUUUUUAUCUUCAUUGGUCGCACCAGGAAUUAUGUAUUUUAAAAUAUUGCCUUUUGGGGGAUGAAGAAUACAAUAGUGAUAAGAAAGAAGAUUUCUGAUGGUAAGUAUAUUUUUUUGUAAUUUAUUUGACAGGUAUUAUUUUUAUUGGCUCACUAUUAUUAUGGUGAAGGGGUUAGGUAGGUGUAACAGGAAGAUCUUCUGAGAGCGUCACUGCAAUUGAAAUCCUUCUCUGUUCCUAUUGCCGUUAGAAUUUUUAAACUAAGUCAUUUGCAUAUAUUUGCAUAUGUGUUUGUAUGCCUCACUUUAAACUGAAAGAUGUAUUGUUGGAGACUAGACCCUGUAGUGAAUAAAGUAUGUUUGAUAUUCUUGUCCUCUUGAACGGGAGUGCUGUCUCUUAUCUGGGAAGGCAUGGUGACAGAGUCUGUGGACCUGUGGACUGAAAGCUUACUUGGGCCUAUGAGCCAAAACUGUCUUUAUAAAUAUAUUGUCAAGAGCACUCAGAGGAAUUGAUUUUGUCACAUAAGAAGAAGUAAUCAGAAGAGGUGAUAUCUGCCUGUUUACUGAGAUGAGGACAACAUCUUACUCUGAAGAAUCAUGGUGGUCUCUGGUGCCAGUGGAGAAGGGAAGGACAGCGUAGCAGGACAGCUCUGGAUCCCAAGAUGGAGACCAGUCUACCCUGUUCUAAUUACAGUUGGGUUAUUUAAUUUUAAUGGGGGUGGCUAUGUGACUGGGGAUCCCUAGCCACCCAUUGGAGGUAGGGAGGUGGUGGCCAUGCAACUAAUGGGGGAGGUGGACAUUUAUCAAGCAAAAAAGACCAUAAAACAUAUAACACAUUGAAUUGGUACAUCAAACUUAACCGACCCCAUGUGUGUAUUACACCUAAAGCCAACACCCAGGUAGACAACCAUAAAAAUAGCAUGACAAAGUUUCAAUCACAAGAGAUUUGCCUAAAAAAUACUUAUCAAUAUAACCAUAUUAAAAACACUGUAUCAAAAAGGCAUAUCAUAAAGAGAUAUCAAAGGCUUAUUAAAAUCCUUAUUUCAAAAAAAGGUUAAUCUAGAGUAAUUAUAAAAAUUAAACCAUUAUAGCACUGGUAACAAUAUUCAUGAAUAGACAGAUCUAAAAUAUAUAUCCAUUAUGCAAUGCAAUAUAAUGGAUAUAUUUCACAUUUUCAAACAUUUUCACUAUUUCAGUAUUUCUCACUGUGUUAAAUAUAUAUACCAAUGCAUAUAUAUAGUCCUAUACAAUUAGAACAAUGUGUCACUUCAUAAUAUAUGCUUUUGGGAGGCUUGGAUUGCCUGUUUAUGAGUUGGUCGACCUCUAGCAACAUUUCAUUCUGUUAGAUUUUGUCUGCAUAAUUUUAAGGGGAGAAGCACAGAACUAUAUACAGAGCACUUGGAAUUUAAAGCAGUGUAAAAACUGAAGCCACAGUACUUCUUCAUUUGCUUCUUUAAAAGUUUAAAAAAUCCACCACUCUGCAUGAAUGGCCAUUUACUGCAGUCCCUUCACAAUGAGAUGCAUGCAAACUCAACUUCCUUUGUAAAUAUAGUUAGCUGUGUUCCAAUGGGUUCACACUACACAAAAUCCCAGUUUACAGCCAUCAUUAUACACAAUUAUUCAUCAUGCUUAUUUCCAUUUGAUCUGAUUGGCUCUUUGACACAAUCGGAAACUAAUUUGCGUAUUUGUUCAGGAAAUAGACCUUUUAUCAUAGAUAUUUGUACUACUUCUAUUUCUUUAUUGUCACGUACAUGAUUACAGUAAUUGGACAAAAACUAGACUUGAAGAUACAUUUUAUUAUGAACUGCAAUUCCGAAUUUGAGAAGAGCAGGUGAUCUAGACUUCUGAACCACCAUAAACACUAAUCCCGAAACAAAUGACUUGCAUAGCGGCCAAGCAUGUUCAUUUUGAUUUGUGAUUCUGAGUUCUGAAAACCUAGCCCUCCCACUCCAAAAAGAUGAUUAAUUGGAAUAAAAGAUGAUUGAUGACAAAGGGCCAGACACUAAAUGUUAAUUGUAUGCACACAUCAAAUGAGAAGUGACCAAAAGAGGAAAAAAAAGGAGAAGUAAAACAAAUUAUAUAUUUAUAUAUUAUAUGUUUAUUAAAUAUUUACACAUAUAUAUAUCGAUUAAUUUGGGGUUAAAAGGUCAGUGAAUCAUUGAACUUUUUAGGAUAAGCUAUACCAGGGACCUCCUGGAACCAUAACAACUUCAUUAUGAUAUGGUUAUUGUGGUGCCCACCGUGUUCCUUUAAUAGAAAAAAAAAUCAAAUAUCUUUAUCUAUAUAACUGAAGAAAACCUACUUUAAAUAAUUUCUUAGAAUUUUCAUUAAAACAUUUGUAAAAAUUAUGGUUUCUUAGACAGGAUUCAUGUUCUAUUAAGCCAUGAAUAUUAAUUACUUAAAAUGGUUGUAAUUUACAUUCAAAAUGUCCUUUCCCUUCUCAUAUCCAUCAUUGUGUACUAGAUUUAAUCAAAACAACAGUUGCAAGGCUAAGCUAGAUAUAUUACUACAUAAUCUCCACAUCUCAUAGUUAGAUUUAGAUCAUGAUUUUUUUAUUUCACAUAUUUUUGUAUAUUUACCACUGGUAUUGAAAACUUUGAAAUGUUUUCCCAAACAUAGUGCAAUAUAAAUCAAUAGUUUAUGUUGCAAAGACUUCCCUCAGAAUGUAUCGAUGAUUACUUUACUUGAAUAGUAGAGGACGUCACUAAUGGAGUCUUAAACCACUUAGCACUAUUAGCAGUUGGCUUUUUUUAUUCCUCAUCAUUUGUCUUAGGUAUGUACCUAAGCCUUCAUUUUCAUUCUCUGUUUAAUUACUCAGUUAUUACCCAUAAUCACUCUUUUUAAGCUAGUGAUUUCAAGUAAAAGUUUCUGUUUUUACUUUUGCUUGAGGGAGCCAACCAAUCUGCAUGUUAAAUCAAACUUGCGCUGAUUUAAAUAUUUUUCCAGCGUGUGCAAGAUUUGUUUGAUAUUAAACAUGCUUUAUUAUGGGAGAAUCCAGUAAUAACUAUUCAUGCUAAACUAAUUUUAAAAGAAUGUAUGAUCCUUGGUGUUUCUUCCCUUUGUUGACGUGGACGAUUCAUGCAAAUCUAUUUUAUUUUAUACUAUACAAAAAAAGCGUUUUCAUUAUUGUACUAUUUUAUUUACCUUCAGUAAUAUCAACUGUAUAUUCUAUUUUACUUCAGAAGCCAGAAAGUACUAGAUAGUUCACUGAAAAAGAAACUGUUUUGAUAUUGAUUUUAGUAUUUAAAAGGACAAUGGGUAUAAUAAAUGUUUACUGGCCUUUUCCUGUAUCAACAGAGGAUAAUUUAAAGGAGAUGGCAUUUGUCAGUGUCUCGGGGAGUAUUAAACAAAUGAUGGACAGUUAUUAGUUCUCCUCAAGAAAAAAAUACUUGUACCUUACAUUUAUAUGCCAUGGGAAAAAUCACUUGGUAUUUUCCUUUGGCAACUGUUCAUAAUUUGAUGGAAAAUUGAUUAAUCACACAUUUAACUCAAUGCAAGAUCCUCUGCACUGUAAUAAAUUAUGGCCAUUAAUCAAUAACUACACAGUAAUCCCAGUAGUGUGGAGACAUGCUGAUUUCUAAUAGAAAACUUGCGCUUAGGCCUUUCUGCCAGUGACCACUUUAUCUGAGGUAUUUUGCACCUGCCUGAAUCCAAUUAGAUGACAUAAUUAAUGAACCUCAAUGCACUUGAUAAUUUGUUAUAUAAAAGGAAAGAAUGUUUUGGCACAUCCAUUAAAUUCUAAUCCACAACACUUAAAAAAAGGAGGAAAAAUUAUGUGAAAAUAGCCAUUUAUAAACUGAUUUUACGAUGCUUGCAGGAUAUAUAUACAAUACAAUUACAAAAUGGGUUAAUCUUUUAAAGUUCAUUAAAGAUAUAUCAAAAAUUGUAUUAAAAAAUGAUUCAAAGUUAAACAUAGUUUGUUUUAAGAAAUACAUUGUCAUUAAAAUAUUGUUUGGUUGUCUAUCUGUUAAAGGUUAUCAGAUUCAUUAUUUUCACUUCUGUAAAUAAUCAGACUAAAUAAGCAUACAUGUAUACUAAUGUUUACAUAGUCAUCUUGCACCUGUUAUUACCUUCUUUAACCCUUUCCUGAUGUUAGGGUGUGCUAUGCCAUCAAACAAAAGGAGGGCUUAAAUGCUGUUAAUUUUCAUUCUACAUGUAUAUUUAUGUAUUAUUGUUACAUAACUAUCUGUUUUUAUUAAUUAUAUAUUGGAGGACCCUGCUUGACAACCCAGGCAGAAAGUACAGAGAAUUUAAUUUGCAAUUCCUAUAUUUGACCUUAUUAUUUUCCAAGACCCAUGCAUAGGCUUAGAAAACCAAACUGACAAAUUUCAGUGUGUAAAAACUGAAAUGGGCAAGCCCUAUAUUUGAACCUGUAACUUUCCAAAACCCCAUAAACCCUAUAUGUGGGGGGUACUAUUGUACGUGUGACACAUCGCUGAACACCAAAAUGUGUAUUUUAUUGCAGUAAAAGCUAACAGUAUUAUGACAUUCAUCAUUAAAAUGUCACACAGAAAAUAGAAAAUAAAAUUUCUUAAUUUUAAAUUAUUUUUUAUAUGUAAAUAUUUGGUGUGAAAUUAAAGCCCUGUUUCUUCUGAAAAAAAUGAUUUAGUAAGUAUGGGUGAACUUAAUAUCAAAGAGAUAAAUUAUGAUUGAACAGACAUAAAGUCAAAUUUUAGGUUUUGUUUUAAUUCAGAACUUGUACAACUUCCUCCGUCCUUAAGGGGUUAAGCUCAUUUCAAUUAUUUUAGCAAGGUGUACUUGCUAUAGAUGGAAUACAAUCAGUACAAUUUUAGUUCUGUCAAUGGGAGAUGCCAUGAGCAGAUUUUGUUUAGGGAGUGAAAAACAAUUAGCAGAGGAUUAUGAGACUAAAAGGCCUUUCGUUGCUCUACCUGAAAAAUACUUUCCCCAUUUAAUGCCUUCGAAGCUGUCAUUGUGCUUGAACUUCAGUCCUAGUGAUUAAUGGAAAGCCACGAGGCACAGCUAGAAGCUAAAGUCUCAAUUAUGAAAAAGCACUAACUAGUUUAAUGUGCUGAUGGUUUUAUAUUUAAACUGACAACUGUGAAAAAUGGCAAUAUUUCCAAUCAUGCCUUAAUAAUUUAUCAUUCAUUUAUUGACAUGUCCAAAAUACUUUUUUUUCCCACUGUUCUUUUUCACUCAAGGCUUGUGGCAUAUUUAAUUCAAGAUGAUAGCAGUACUUACAUUCCAUAAAUGUUCAGGUUUACUAGAUAUAAUUUUCUGUCAGUAACAUUUAGUAUUAUAUAUUAUAAUAUAUAUAUAUAUAUAUAUAUAUAUCGAAAUCUUCAAAUUCACACGUAUUUUAUUCUAAUGCAAGAAUUGUAUUAUUAUAUAUAGAUUCAACUUUUUUAAAUCUCUGUAUUCAAUUUGAAAUGUAAGUUUACAUUUAAGUGAUAUCACAGCAUUUUCUUCACUAUCCCAUAUCAAAUUCAUUGUAUUUAUUUUAUCAAUCUUAAAAUAAUAAAAAAUAGAGGUGAUCCCGGGACACAAACCUAAAACCAGAUGCCUCAACUAUCGUUGUAAGCAAAUGAGCGAUUUCUGGCGUGCAGUGUUACUGAUUGGACAUGAGUCACUGGUUAAUCCAUCAAUAGAUAAGAGAAAGUCACUAAACUAAUAUCAGCUAUUCUGAACAUACAAAAAUAUUGCUAAUGCAUUUAGUGAAACAGAAGUAUAUGUAUGCAAAAUAUAAUAGCACAUUAAAAUCUUUCUACAUCUCAUUAGCGAAUGUAGGAAUUCAUUAUCAGGUUUUAGCAUUUCAAAUAAUUGUUUAAAAAUAAUUUAAAAUUUGGACUGCUACGUUAUAGCACAAAAAUGUAGGAUACUAAUAUCUGUGUUAUACAGAGAUUGCUGUUUAUGAAUACAUAAAACAAUUCAGCUAUAUAAAUAUACACCAUUUAAAAGUUUUAUUUACUUAUUCACUCUAUACAGAAAUGUUAAAGAAUAACUAUAGUGUCAGGAAAACACACCUGUUUUCCUGACACUAUAGUGUCCUAAGGGUGCCCCCACCCUCAGGGUCCCCCUCCCUUGGUGCUGAAGGGGGACCCUGAGGGUGGGGGCACCAUUAGGGCACUAUAGUGUCAGCUCCCGAGUGGAGAAAAAUGUGCAUGCACGGCAAGUGCCGCACGCAUUUAAACAGUACAUAGGAAAGCAUUUCUCAAUGCUUUCCUAUAGAUGUUCUGCACGCUGGAUGCAAAUUUCACAUUCAGGGUGGCAGAUGCACCUCUAGCGGCUGUCAGGAAGACAGCCACUAGAGGUUGGAUUAACCCUGCUAUGUUUAGAUGUGAAUGGUUAAAACCUGAGGGACCUGGCACCCAGACCACUUCAUUGAGCUGACGUGGUCUGGGUGACUAUAGUGUCCCUUUAAGUGCAUAACAUUUUUUAGAGACUAUAUGGUAUUUAAAGAUUUAAAGAUUAAGAUAUAAGCAGAAAUAUAUAUUUUUAAGUUCUAUAAAACAGGUGUGGCAAAUGCAUAUAAAAUGGUCAAAUAAACUGUUUAUAAGUAUUUGUAAGGAACCUGAUAACCUUUUGUGAAUACAGCUUCCAAAAGUCAAUCAUACUGUAAGAACUGUGACACCAUGUAUCUGGCAGUAGCUAGUGAAUUCCAUUACUGUGCUCAAUCUGCCAGAGGAAACACUCACUCGUCCCCUACCUACAAGAAGUCAGUUAUGAAAUUUGAACUAUAAAAGUUGUUAUCAUGCGUAGUAGAAGGAGUCACCAGCAGUGAUACCUAAAGACAGAAUGAAGUUCUACACCCAAAAAAAAGUGUAUCAAUAUACAGUGGAAAAAAUAAGAUUAAUUUAAACAAGUACAGCCACCAAUGUUGAAAAUCUUUAUGUUGAAUAUCUUUUCAAUGUGUAUACGUCUAAAUCUAACACAUACAAGCUGUCAAUAGGGUCUAAACAAAAUAGGAAGUGAAAACAAAAGUGUUAUGGUGAAACACACCCAUAAGUGUAUACCGUGACAUUUACUAAAUCAGCAAUGUAAAUCAGUGAAAUAGAGAUGAAAACUGUUUCAGGAGUUAUGGUAAAGUUAGGGCUAGCUGCUUUGUUUACUUGAAAUGGCUGGUAUAAACUGUAGUUAUACCUUAUUUUUGUGUAGGUCACUGUUAAUGUACAGAACAAAUGUUCACAACUUUUAACCUUUUUGGACCAACGCACACACAAUAAGAGAAAAUAUUCCAAGGAACACUUUCUUUGUUUGUUUAUAAAGGGUCACUCCAACCACUGUGACCACGUCAAUGAUUUGAAGUCGUCAUGGUGGUAGGGGCAAGUUGCACCGCCAGCACAUGUGACUUAGGCAGCCUAAGUUCAAUGAUGUCCAUAAAGUAUGUCUGUUGUCAGCACACACUGCAUGCUGACAACAGAAGUUAAAAACUUCCCCUUGCAAGCAGAGCACCUGCAAUGAGAAGCUAACUCUCCCCUCCUACCAUCCCUCCCACUCUGUGCUCCAUCCUCCCUCCCUCCAUGCUCAUUGGUGUUUAUUUUUAAAAACCUCUCUCCCACUCCUUCCCUUUGCUUCCCUCCCCUCGCUGGCCCGAAGCGCGUGUAUGUAAAAAGCAUGUGAUUGCGUGGCCACAGUUAAAUCCAAGGGGUCACGGAAAAACAUUGCAGGGAGCUUGGUCUGGCAUUGGAAGUUAGGUUAUUUAAACUUUUCAUUUUCAGAUUUCACAACAAACCAAAAGGGCAAAGAGGGGGGACCUACCCCACAGUGCCAACUAGGGGAUAUUACGCCGGAAACGUCUGUCUCUCAAUAGAGUUUUAAUAACCCUUUAACUUCAUGAGCGUAUAAACAUCAUACUUACUCAAAAACAUUACUCAGUUGACAUGUAUACUCCUGCAACAUUAAGGUAUUAGUUUUAAUUGAUAGCCAGAGAGUUAAUGUUGACACUUAAAAAAAACAAAAAAAAACAAAAAAAACACAUUUUUAAAAAACUAAAAAACAAAACAAAACAAAAAAACACCACAUUUUAAAGAUUGCAUUCAGCCUAGUACAGGCCUGAUGUCAAUGUGUUCAUGGCACACUUUUUGGUUGCUGGAGGAGCAAUGGCCACUGGCAUAGAAAAUCAAUUAAUAAAGGCUCUUAAUUUUUCAUUUGGUGUGAUUAUGUCAUCUAUUGCCUUCUACUGAACCCAUAAUUAUUUUUAACAUGUUUGUUUAUUAAAGUUGCAGAGAUACAGUACAUAAAAAAUAAAUUCAGUGAUAAUCAUGUAUAGUUAAACAAGAAUUAAAAGUAUUCUAGAGCAUUUCAGCGCUUCAAUAUACAUUUUUCCAUAUAAAGAAAAAGUAACAAAGGGAAGGGAUAGAUAGGGAGGAAGGAAAAGGGUGGUAACUUCCAGGUAGGCCAAUCAGACAGGGAUGGAAGAGAAGGGUUACAGUAUGUAAUUCACUGGAAACAAUGGCAUUAAUAGUUCAGCAAAGUGAUGAUACAGACUAUAAACUUAUAGCUGUAGCAUGGUUGAUGCUGCAUAAGUAGUAGAAACCUCAUAGCUAAAGGAACACUAUAAUGUUAGGAAUACAUACAAUUCCUAGGCAUUUCUAAAAAAUAAAUAGCAUACAUACAAUUGCUAGGCAGGAAAAAGUAGCAACAUUGUCUACAUGCUAUUUUUGUUUUUAUUUUAUUGUUUUAUGUUUUUUUCAUUACAUUGGGACCCUGAAGAAGUCCUAUUUGUUGUUUCGAAACAUGUAGGAGCAUUUAUUUUAUUUUAUUAUUUUUAUUUUUCAUUUUUGAAAUACAUUUUAUCAUGGUUUGAAAUAUACCUUUCUUGACUUUCAUAUUGGUGUGGUGUUCAUCACAGGAGUAGAGGAGCUCCCCAUAAUUUCAAGGGGAGGCACCCUUUGGCAAUAUAUACAUACUUAUUCUGUUAUGGCAAAUCUGUUAGCACAUUUAAAUGUGUUUCAUACUGUAUUAUAGUCUUUGUUUUAUAGAUCUACAGCUGCAUGCUCUGUAUUCUAUAUUUUUGGUUUGCUGCUUAAAAGGAUACUUUCUGAGAAAUUCGUAGAGAAUGGGGGUGUGGGAUUUCAAGGCAUCCAUCUUUGUGUGUUUCAUGUGUUUCCUAUUGGCACAAUUUACCAACUCCUCAGAAACCCGAGAUUGUUCUACAGCAUGCAUCCACUCAGAUAUAGUAGAAAAGGUGGGAGAUUUCCACUUAAGUGGAAUUAGGGUCUUGGCUACCAUCAGAAGUCUAACCAUGAGGGAGGAUCUAAAUUUGAGUAACAAGGUGGAAGUAUGGAAUAAAAGCACAUUUCUGAUGUAAUGUGAAGUAGCAGGUCAGUGAGCUUGGUAUCAUAAAUGUGUAGAUGAUUGACUUCCAAAAAGGUAUUAUAAGAGGGCAGUGUAACCAAAUGUGUUCACCUUCCAUUUGUUGAUGUUGUGAGGUUAUUUAUGGGGAUUAAUUAUUUUGAAUUAAGUUUCAUUAAUUAAAAAUAAUAUUUUCAUAAAAAUUAUUAAAAUGAAUAAUGUUUAUUAAAAUAUCAGAGGUUGAUAAUGUAUUGGCGCUUAUUAACCAAUUAUUAUUUAAAGCAAAGAGUUUAAUCACUAUUUUAACUCUAUAGACCUGGAGUACAUUGUUCAAAUUUAAUAUUUCAUACAUUAAUAUUACAACUUUUUAUGCAAAUUAUAAUAUUUAUUUUUUGACAAUAAGUGUAAUUAUACAUGGUAAUUAGUGAAUAGUUUUCAAAAAUAUUGAACAAGAUAUGGCAUAAAUCAGUAUCUCAACCUCAGUAACAAUUUCAAACUCUUUAGAGUGAUAGGAUUGUUAGUUCAUGACAACUUCAAUCAACCGGGUGAGUAUAUGGAAUAUGUUCUUCAUACACUAUUGAUUGAGACAAUCAGCAAAUAGAAUGUUACUAUUUGUUAAAUUAUAAGGAACCAUAUGAGUUUAUCAGCAUAUGGAUUAAUAUAAUUUAAAGACAGAAUUUUUCAGGAUCUUAAAAUACAAUCUUAGCUUUUUACUUCUUAGUACAAUUUACAAAUACAUGUGGAUUGUUUGCUUAUUGUAAACACCAUUCAUUAGACUUAGCUGGACAGAGUUUGUUAUUUACUCAGGAGAUCUAUCCACAAAGUUCUAUGACAAUGUUUUACCAGCUAGCACAGAAUUUUAACCAGUUCAGUGCUGUUUCAGAGUAAUUAAUUAUGAUUAAUUAGUUCAUCCAGUAACUAAACUCUUGCAGGUUUAGUUAAAACAAUUCUUAUCUGGUAAAUAUCUCCUAGAUUGUUAUGUGAUAAUAUUCCUGGGUAACUCUUGAUAUUCUAUUUUUUAUUUCAUGAUUUGAGUAAUAUUCCAAUCUGCAGUUUGAGAUAUCAAUCUUUAUCAUGAGCUAUCAUGAAACCCAAUCUGGCGGAUUUUGUAUCAGCUUUUAACCAACAAAUAUUAGCUUUUAGUUAUGUAAUUUUAUAGUUAGUAUAAUUGGCUUAUAUUUUCCAAUAGAUGUUCUGGAUGUUAUUUUUAAGAUUGUUUCAAUAUGUCUUCUGUCUGUCUCUUGUCUCGUGUCCUAUCUCCUUUCUCCUUGUGUGUGUCUCUCUUCUAUGUGUCUCUGUGUCUCUGUGUCCUCCGUUUAUGUGUGGUUUUUUUUAGGUGUGUAUAUCACGGUUUAUAUGUCAUUCCUUAUUUGUCAACCUUCUGACCUGGUCCAAUGACAUUUUGGGGCAAGUCAUUAUGUUAAUGGCUGUUGACGUAAUUUUUAUAUAUAUUUCUAUAUGUCUUAAACAGCAGGUGGAUUUGUUGUCUACGUCAGGAAUGUUACCAGCUAUUAUCAUAUAGGGUUAAACUUUGUUCAGGACAAUUUAGGAAUGUUUAAUUUCAAAAUGCUUUGGUCACCAUUUCUUCUUUUCUCUCAAUGUGGACUUCGGUCUCACACCAAUAAACAAAGGUGUCCUUCCUCAUCUAAGCGUUAUGGUAAUUUCAAGAUAUUUAAGCCGUCUAACUUAAUUUAUCUCUAUUGAUUACAUCUUUAUAUGUAUAUAGUUUCUAUAUAUGUAAAUUGCUAAUUUAGGAUAUAUCACACUAUAUUUCUAUUUUUAUAUAUAAUUAAACUUAAUUUAUAUACCUCAUAGCAAUAUAUGUGUGUUUGCUGAACACGUACUUUUAAUUAACACAUACUUGUCUUAUCUGUAUUCUUAUUUUUUUAUUGACACAGAUGCAUUUACUCACUGUCUGGCUCUUAGCUGACAGGGUCAUACUUUGAGAAAAACAUCUUGUUUCUUUAGUUUAGCACCUCAUGGCAUAUUAGCUAAAUUGCAUUUUUGCUAUUAAUCACGUAUUAUAUUUUAUCACACAAUAUAUACGUAUUUCCUUCCUACACAAUAUCUCUUACAAUGUGACUCCAGACUUAAAGGGACACUAUAGUUACCAGAACAUCUACAGUUGUUCUGGUAUGUAUAGUAUGUCUGUGCUGGCAUUUUUAUGUAAAAACUGCCUUUUCAAAGAAAAGGCAGUGUUUACAUUUCUCCCUAGGGACACCUCCAGUCGCAGUCACUCAAACAGCCACUAGAGGUGCUUCCUGACUGACGUUCAGCAUCUCCAUGAUCUGCAUGGAGACACUGAACAUUUCUCAUAGAGAUUCAAUGUAUUUCUACAUGAGAUGCUGAUUGGUCAGUGAGUCUCAUUACUCAAUUCUCUGCAAUGAAUCUAUAAUAAAAUGUGAUUGAUCAGACCAGGCAAUCUACUUUCAUUGCUCAUGGUCCAGUUAUGAUGCUCCACAUUGAAAGUGCUAUUGGUGGUGGGUAGGGGUUAUGAUCGACACUCUGCCCGGUUUGCCUCUCCACAACCCCAUACACAGCAAACUGCAAUUCACUGUGUGUUCCAACACCAUCAAUUUGAGGUAUGAUCCGACCAGAAGGGCUAGCCAGAUGGGUUAGACCUUGUUGGAGCCUCCUGUGUGUCAUUAAAGUUCAAUUUACAGAGAAGGAGAUUAAAACUUCUAAAGCAAGUUAACAUUUCAUUAAAAAUGAAACCAUUUUUUUCAUGUAGGCCGUGUCAGUCACAGUCAGGGGAGGUGUGGCUAGGAUGGCAUAAACAGAAACAGAAAUGAGCAGUGAGACUGCAGGGCCAUUAUCUAUACACAUAAACGACUUCAUUAAGCUAAAGUUAUUUUGAUAUCUAUAGUAUAGGCAUAGGGAAGCUUAAUAAAAACAGCCUCUUUUUUUUUAGAAAGUGUAUAAAAGGCUCUGUGAGUCUCAGCUAGGUAAUGUGUGUCUAGGGCUGCAUUAACAACACAAUAUAACUCUUAUAUGUCAGUGGAUUGAGUAGUAUGUCUGCAGGUUCCUUAUUUAUACACCAGAACUACUUUAUUAAGGUGUUUCGUGCUUAGUAUGUCCCUUUAAUUUAGCUGUUUACUUGACCUCAGUUAACAUUUCAAUAUUUACUACUGUACAUAAAACUGUUGAAAUAGUAAGGUGACACUGCAUCCUAAUACACCUUUAAUUGCUGAAUCUAUUCAUUCUGCUAUAACUUUUCUUUUGAACAUGGUCGGGAUAUUCCAAAAUAUGACUUAUAAAAAUAAAAAGCAACAAAAAAAAAAAAACAACAUAACUUCAGGUUUCCUUAUUUGCCCUGUAGUCUAUCAUUCUGCUGAAUUAACAAAUAAAACAAUGGAUAAAAGUAGAUUGCAUAUUUACUCACCCGCUAAUCUCCAAACUAUUUGAGAUAAAAAUUAAUUUGGCUUCUUGGCAGACGAGUAGGAGAUUCUAAUUACUUGCUCCUACUAAAUUAAAUCUAUGCAUCAUUUUUUAUAUUGUUAAGAUAGACUAGUUUCUCAUUUUAUUCAUACAUCUAAUGGGAAUGGCAAAUAAUUUAUAGGAACUUACACAACAUUGUUUACAGUGAUACAAUUCUUGUUUUAAUUUUAUGCUUUUCAGUAGAUUGUUAAAACCCUUCUUUUACUAAACAGUCAAUCAAAUCACUUUAAUAUCGAUAGGUUUAUUUAUGUUUUCUGUGAACAACAAACAUCAAAUCUUUUUUAUGAUAUGGAGAGCAUUUAACAUAAAUAUAAAAGAGCAGCUUAAAAACUGUCAAAUUAACUUGCUUUUAUAUAACGUAAUAAUCAAGAGUUGGGUCAUUUUAUUUGGACAGGAGUACCUCAUACUCAGUUAUUAUUAUUAUUAUUAUGAUAUUUAUAGAGCGCCAUCAAAUUCCGCAGCGCUUUACAAUGGGUGGACGAACAGACAUGUAGUUGUAACCAGACAAGUUGGACACACAGGAACAGAGGGGUUGAGGGCCCUGCUCAAUGAGCUUACAUGCUAGAGGGAGUGGGGUAAAAUUACACAAAAAGGUAUGGAUAGUAUUAGACUAAUGACAGUUGCAGAAGAGGAAUUAGUCAGGAGCUAUUAACAGUUUAAUAGUUAUCUGUGUUCAAAAUACUGAGACUGCAAUUGUCAUUGAGUUUCAAGGGGUCAACUAGCCUGUGAAUUCUCUGCCGAAUUGUAGUCUGCAUACUCUGCAUCAGGAGAUUUGAGGAAAGGGAUUUAGGGGUGAUUAUUUCUGAUGACUUAAAGGUAGGCAGACAAUGUAAUAGAGCAGCAGAAAAUGCUAGCAGAAUGCUUGGUUGUAUAGUGAGGGGUAGCAGUAGAAAGAGGGCAGUGCUCAUGCCAUUGUACAGAACACGGGUGAUACCUCAGUAGGAGUAUUGUAAGCAGUACUGGAGACCUUAUCUCUAGAAGGAUAUUGACACUUUAGAGAGAGUUCAGAUAAGGGCUACAAAACUGGUUCAUGGAUUGCCGGAUAAAACUUAGAAGGAAAGGUUAAAGGAACUUAACAUGUAUAGCUUGGAGGAAAGACGAGAUUGGGGGAUAUGAUAGAAACAUUUAAAUACAUAAAGGGAAUCAACACAGUAAAGGAGGAGACUAUAUUUAAAAGAAGAAAAACUACCACUACAAGAGGACACAGUCUUAAAUUAGAGGGGCAAAGGUUUAAAAAUUAUAUUGGGAAGUAUUACUUUACUGAGAGGGUAGUGGAUGCAUGGAAUAGGUUUACAGCUGAAGUGGUAGAGGUUAACACAGUAAAGGAGUUUAAGCAUGUGUGGGAUAGGCAUAAGGCUAUCCUAACUAUAAGAUAAGGUCAGGGACUAAUUAAAGUAUUUAAAAAAAAAUUGGGCAGACUAGAUGGGCUGAAUGGUUCUUAUGUGCCGUCACAUUCUAUGUUUCUAUGUUUUUAUUUCAUAGGUUAGUGCCUCUAGUGGUGUAAUGUAAUUCUAAUUUUAUAAUUUACUGUGCAGAUUGACAAAGAAAAAAACAAAUCUGAUCGAAUGAAGGGACAGGUUUGCCUUAUCUCUUAAAAUCAAUCAUCAGAGACCAUUAGACAUAUAGAGAGUAUUUGCAAUAGUAAAGUGUCAGCGCUUAGUCAAUAUUCCCCAAAUAUUGCAAUAUCUGUUUUAUUGGGAUUGAGGAAUAUCCUUUGUUGUGAUUAGCAGCUUUUUAUUAAUAACGUUUUUUUGUGUUUUAUUUUAAUUUAAUUUUAUUUCUUUAUAUUGUUGCGCUCUUUUGAUUUAUAUUUAUAUAGAGAGUAAUGCUACAGGGCAUAUUGAUCAAAAAAAUUAUAUUUUUAACGAUUCCCUUCCUCAUUCAUUACUUACAUUACAAGUAUGGAUUCCUUUAUUAUCACUUUCCUCAACAAAUAAGGUAUUAAUACAUUCAUUGAAGUUUAAAUAACAAUGUGGAACAAACUAAGAGUGUUCAAAAAUGUUGGGUUCACUCAGAAAUCUCCUUAUUUUCCAUGAAAAUAUAUAUGAAAUGAGUUUGAAUAGGAAAUAUAGUCAUUGACAAUUUUAGAAACAUGAAAUAAAUGAAUAUAUAGUAAAAUAAUAAUUGCAAAUCAGCUGACUGCUUCUUCUUAUAGUUAUUGCAUAGUUUGGAGCUAUGCUUCAGGUCAUCAUCCUGCUAAAGGAUAAAAUUGGCCCCAAUCAAGCACCAUCCACAAGGUAUGGAAUGGCACUGCAAAAUGGAGUGAAAGCCUUCCUUCUUCCUUUUACCCCGUAUAAAUCUCUCACGUUACCACCACUAACAAACCCCCAGAUCAUUACAUGCAGCCUCCACCAUGCUUGACAGAUGGUUUCAAACACUCCUCCAGCAUCUUUUCGUUUUGUCUAAUCUCAUGAAUGUUCUUCUUUGUGAUCAGAAUAGCUUAAGUUUAGAUUUUUACCAGAAUAUUAUCAAAUUUAGAUUUUCCUUAGAUUAGAUUAGUUUUCCUCUGUCCGUUGUCUAUAUUCUUUUUCCUGUCUCAAUCUUUUCUUUGACGGUCUGAGAUAUUACUUUUUCGUUGCAACUAUGCCAAGAAGGCCAGCAUCACUGUUGACAUUGAGACUAGUAUUUUGCUGGGAAUAAUUUAAUACGGCUGGCAAGUGAGGACCUGAGAGGCAUCUGUUUCUCAUACCUGACACUCUUAUGCUCAGUUGUGCACAACUCUUUCUAUUCUGGUAUAAGACAGAUAAGAUGCAGAAAUGGCAGCCAUUCCAAUGGAUUCACAGAGCUUUAUAUCUGCUCUUAGAAUAGAAGUACUCCAGAGAUACGUAGAACUUUAAAAUCCAAAGACCUAAAGAUUGAGCUUUUGUCUACAUCAAAUACCAGUAUUUUACAAUAUGAUAUUAAAUGCUAUUAAUGACAUUAAAACAUCCUUCAUAUUUUCAGCAUCAUCAACAGUAUCCUGCUGCACAAGUGCAUUUACAAUUGUUUAUUGUCAAAUACAUUUUCAAAAAAGUUUAGGGAUGAACAUCAAACCUUCAGACAAGCAGCUCUCGGAAGAGAUAUUUGUAUAAUGAAAUAUAAUAGGUGAAUCCAGUAGCAAUGGGAAUGAUUACUGCUUAAAUGCACAGCAUAGUAUUUACUACAUUUUACUCUUGCGUUUUAUAGAGUUUUGAACUUGCAUAUAAUUUUCGUUAAAGGAUCACUCUAAGCACCAUAACAACUUGGCAUCAUUCCUAACUUUAUGGCAUAGAGGAUACCGAGCAACCAUUCUUAGUCCUGAGAGUAAUUUAUAUAUAAAAAAACAAACACAUGUGGGGCAGCUUGUGAGAUCACUGCACAUAGCCCAGUACCCAAAACAAUUAAUACGGCUGUAUAUAAACCAAUAUAAAUAUAUACAAAUCAAUAUCAACAUAUAUAAAAAUAUAUAAAGCAAUAACAUUUGCACUAUGGCUGCUUUUAAUUUAUUGAGCAGUUUAUUAGCCAGGAUUCUGAUUGGAGAAGCCUUUUCCUGGGUAGAGAGGGGCCUGUCUGUAGCUGUAGACUUAUGUUGUAAGCUGUACAGCGCUAUGAUUUUUGAAAGUGAGUAUCUUAUUAGUUUAUUAUUUUUGUAGUGUAUUACUUUAAUGCAGUAUCUAUAAAAUGCAUUAACAUAUGGGAAUUAUGGGACCAAUUUUGCUGAUUGUUUCUCCUUAAAUCACUGUAGAGUUUUGAUUAGACUAACUUAAUUUAGUGCAGGAAACAAUAAACUAGAUAUUUCUUCUAAACAACAAUAAAAUACAAACACAACAAAGAAAUGGUGGAUUGGCGCUUAAUACCAAAGAAUGGGCAACUACCCCCAGUGCCCAAAAUCACUAAAUGGCACUCAGAUACAAAGUGAGAGAAAUGAGUAUAAGGGGGGUGCAAAGAAAUAUACAAUACUUGGCUGUAUACUUAGUAUAGUGAGUUGAACACCUCCUGAUCUUCCUAUAAUAGAAACAUAAACAUAUGCAUAGUAUAAUACUGUAACACAAGGAAAAAUGAUCAAUUAUGAAGGUAUUGGGUCACUCACAAUAUGCAGAGCCACAUAAAGCUGGCUCUGACUUCGAAGGCAGAUGAAUAAUAAGCUUAUUCUGGCUUUCAGAUUCCUAAGCAGGAUAGCUCCUUUCCAGCCCCUCAAUGAAUUUCAGGAUAUCCAAUUUGGUGAAAAUGAAAUAAAUGUUACUGGAUACAAAAUAGCUGUUCAACUCACUAUACUAAGUAUACAGCCAAGUAUUGUAUAUGUAUUUGCACCCCCCUUAUACUCAUUUCUCUCACUAGAUAUUUCUUCUGCUUAUAAAUAUUUCAAUACAUCUAGUGUUCAGUUAAUUGAUUCUAAAAAUCUACAAAUAAAGAUAUAAAUAAAUAAACAAAGCAUUGAAGAGGAUAUUGCUUGAAUCCUACAUAUUAUUGAAUUGUAAAAUGAAUAAAAUACUAAUUGCUUGCUCCCAGUAAAUGAAGCAAAUUCGUCACCAUUUUCUGACAUUAAAAAGAGAUGGCUUGGACUUCAUUUUACUCAUAAACAGAAUAUUUACUUGUAAUUGUUGAUUGGAAAUAAAAAAUAUAUUGCAUGCUUUUAGAUAUACUGCUUUUCUGAGGUUGUCUGUCCUUUCCCAGAAUGCUGCAUGGUGCUCUAAUAAAUCUGAAAAGAUGUCCUGCAAAAUUGCUAUUUGCAUUUCUAAGCUUUAUUAUUAAUCGGAGUGUUUCUGUGAAGUGAGUAAAUUGUGCAAGUGGCUGAAACAAUAGUUUCAAAAAGAAGAUUAGUGGCCUUAAUAUGCAUUGGAGAGCAAAAGAGAAAUCGUAUUACUGUAUGGAGAAAUUACCUCAUAAACAAGCGAAUACAGCAGGCAAGGGAGUAAUUUUUAAUAAGGUUUUUAUGAUGCACAAGUGUAGGCAAGUUAAUGAACUUACUGUAUCUUUCUAGUUAUAUUCAGAUUAUAACAAUGAUUUUCACUUUCGGUUCUUAUGCAUUGAAAAGUAAAAUACAUUUAAUCACUUACAAUAAAAAUGAUUUCAUUAGUUUAAUAAAUCAAGUAAAAUCAUACAUUCAUACCUGGUUUAAUGCUAUUGCAAAUAAUUGAAAAAAUUUUUUGAAGAAAUUGGUGUGGAAUGGGUACUCUGAGGUAAAAAAAAUGCAUAUUAAGAGUCUAUGGCAUUUCAAGUCUAAAACAAUAAAUACAUGCUUUGAAUUGUAAACACACUGAAAAAGACCCCUAGGCGAAACAGACUAGUAUCAGCUAAGGUUUAAAGAAUAAAAAUAUACUGUUAUGUCUUUUGAUAAUUCUAAGCUGAGUUGCAUGAAUCUCUCCAAUGUAUUUUGAUGAAGCACAACUUGUCUCACAGUACUAUAUUACUGAAAAAAUAUGCUGCAGGUCACAAUUAUUUAUUUAAUAUAUUGCCGACUUCAAAGUCAAUAAAAUUCUGUUUCACUAGCUAUGAAUGAAACUCGAAGGUGGGGUUUGUUCAUAUACAGAACAAAAUCAAAGAAUAGAAAAUGGGGAUUAUUAAGCUGAAUUAUUUAUUUUAGGGAAAAGGUCAAAUAAAAUGCAUAUAGAAGGUUCAGUAGGAGUCAGUGAAAGGGCUAUUUUGUAAAGUGAGAAUUGUCAUGAAUUCAAAGUGAAUUCAAAAUAGAUUUUGCAAUUUAAGUCCAAAAUAGCUGAACUGGGAAAAUUUUUGUUAGCUAUUUUUCCAUUUUAGCUUCUUUGGCUUUAAACUGGAAAUUUCUUUGAAUUCACUUUGAAUUCCUGACAAUCGUCACUUUAGUAAAUAACACUGUGAGGAUUUUUUUCUUUGCACAUAAUUCUUUAUAAAACUUUCAAAUAAGAAACAUAACUCUUUUGGGUGGUUAUCAACCUGCAGUAUUGUUAGUUUUUUUAUGUACAGUAUGAGAGGGUGUGUUUAGCAGCCCUAAGUAAGAUAUCACUAGGAUGAACGAAGUGCAUAAUCCCCCUAGAUUAACAGAAAUAAAUAUGGGUAGAAAACCACACCUCCAACAAAUGGGAGAACGGAGGGGGAGGCACCAAGCACUUAAAAGGAAGGGCCGAACACUGUGACAUCAUUAGAAGAAGUCCGGGGAGGCGGACGAAAUGCGUCAUGCAUGAUGUCAUCAAGAGGCGGUCCCAAGUUGUCACAUGAUCGGAACAGUGCAGAAACCAGGAAGUUACUGCAACCUGCUGCCGUUUUACAUUUGAUUUCUGCUUGUCAAGUUAUUGGUUUAUUGACGGCAAACCCACUAUUUUAAGUAAGAGUUUUUAACCUUUGUCAUUAAUAAAUUGUACUUAGAUACUAUUCAAUUUGGGAUCCUUUGCCUUGUUAUCCUCUUGUACUGCCCAGAAGUUCCUGGUAGGUAUUAUACCUGAUAGAAGGGAGACACCUGUCUUGAUUCAAGCUGUGCGAUUAUCCCUCUCCAGUGGAGCUAAUCAAAUCCAGUGGUAGGGGUAAUAGGGCUUUGGUAUAUGUGAGUUCUAUCCCAGACACUCUUAUAUUUUCUUUCAAGUAUUUUCCAGAUAGUCUGCACUAUAUAUGCACUAUUUAUUAUACUUUUCAGAUUGUAUAUUGAGAACACUGUAUUCACUGCAGUUGCUAGCGUGCUCUGUUUUUGGUAUUUAUUUGUAUUUGUGUGUCACGUAGUGUCACUUUGGGGCAGGGCAGCUGUACUGCAUAUUUUUUUUAUUAAUCUCAAGUGCUUAUAACACUUCUGGUUACAGAUGGAAGCAGCAAAGAUAAACAGGGCAUUUUUAUUGACUAAACAAGCUGUGUUAUUUUAUAGGUCAAUAUUAUUAAAGACACGGAAACUCCUUAACUCUUUCUUAUGCUUAUGAUGAACUCUUUCUUUAUUUCCCUCAACAGCAAAGAAAAAAAUAUGAGACAAAUCAUAUUAAAAAAGUGCACAAACUGGAUAGUAAAAAUGCAACCAAUCACAAUACAGGUUGUGUCUCUUAUAAACUCCUCCUCUUUCUUUGCUGCUCCCUCAGACCAGCUAAGUGCUUAAAUUGAACACAUAUAAUUUAAGCUAAGUGCUUAAAUUGAACACAUAUAAUUUUCUAUAUAUUGUUUCUGCUUCUAUUACCUUAAUAGAGUUCAUUACACAUAUUUAAUUUGAUAUAUAUUGUUUUUGCUUCUAUUACCUUAAUAGAGAUCGUUACACAUAUACAAUUUUAUAUAUAUUGUUUUGCUAUUUAUUACCUUUAUAAUUUGUUUGUUUCUAUAUAUUUUUCCUUACUUCUCUGCUGCUGAUUGCCUGCAUUACUUUCGUUAUAUCUUUCCUCGGAGUGUGCCAAGUCUUUCUCACUUUUUCCCUUUUGGAGGGCUCCUUGGGUUUUACUUUUACUGCUUUCCAUUUUGGAGAAAUAUAUUUUAUAGGUAGAUUACCUGAUAGAAUGAACUAAAUGUGUAGUUGUGGACAAUGAUAUUAGAUACUCUAUAAUAACCAGCCACACCCCGUUUUUGGUUUUGCAAAUGUUAUUUUCUGCCUAAAAAAUUAUAAACUAAUUUUAAAGCAACUGUACAGGUAAAAAAAAUGCAUAGGCCUCUCUCCCCUCCCCCACCCAACAGUAAACCUACUAUCACUAAAUGUUUCUUUCCCUAAAUAGUGUAAAAUUUAAAUUUAGAAGUACCUUUACUUUGAUCACAUAUUCUGCUCCUCCUCUGAUUUCAUGUCAUUUCCCUCUUUGGUUUCUUCCUGCUUCCUGUAUUUUAGCUGGACUAUCCACCAAUAGCCAUGCUCCAGUUAUUGAGAAUCAGUAAUGACAUGCCUUAGUCAUUGCAAUUUGCAUCACUCAACACAUGUCCACAAUGCCUAUCCAUGUCUCCUCAGUGUCCUCAGCAUUUGGACACUAGAACUUACAAACCACAUCACACACAAACAUUUCCUCACUUCAUUAGGUAUUAAAUAGUGUCAUAUGUUUAUUAUAAAGUUAAGUCUUACGCAUUUUUGUUGCCAUCACACUUUUAUCCUUUCACUGUCUGUUCCUAGAGACAGAUUCUGUGUACAUACCAGUUCUUUUCGUAACUACUGAAUGAUGCACACAGUUAAAUAACCACUUAAGCCUGAUUGACUUGUUGAAACUAUCAAACAUUCUUCUUGAAUAUAUGUCAUCAGCCAAGCAAACUGUGUAUUUCAAGAUAUUAGGGUUUAAUUAUAUUUGGUCUUAGAUUUAAUACACAAUAUAGUUUUGCAAUGGAUAAAAGAAAGAUAGAGAUAAUAUCUGCAUUCAUUAUGUGAGAUAGAGUAUUGUCAGGAAUAGAGUAAAUAGACACUAUCAUAAAUCAAGAAAUGGGUAUGUUUUGUUGUUAUCGUUAAGCGAAUUAUAAAAUUGUUGGAAGAAAGAACAAAGUGUUGACACCUAGCUGGGCUGGUGUUGUAACUUUGCAGAUUUAAGUGAAUAGUUUGUGAUCUUGUCCAAGGAUGCUCAGUGAUUAUAAAGACAUGACAAAUUAACGUUUGAUUAUAGCUAUAUAGAGGACAAAGAACAUGAAAACAAAUAUUGUGAUGGAGACAAAUAUUGUGAUGGAGACUAGAGCUGUAACAAAUAACAUAAUAAGAAUACAAAUAUUCAUAGGAUAUACAGUUUUUAAGAUGCAUGUAUCAAAGUAGACUUCAAAAUUGGGCUGUUUGUAUCAAAAACUGUAAUCCAUGUAUCAACCAUACACCAGUGGCCACAUGUGUAGGUACACCUGCACACAUGCAUGCUAGUGCAAAAUAUCUUUGCAUACAAUCAUGCCACCACAACUUCAUGCAUUAAAGCAUGCAGACCUGCUCAAGAGGUUCAGUUGUUGCUAAAAUCAUUCAGGAAGGGUAGGAAAUGUGACUUUGAACCAGGAAUGAUUGUAGGUGUCAGAAAUGGUGGUUGAAUAUCUCUGGGGAUUUUCAUGGACAACACUUUCUAGACUCUACAGAAAGUGGUACAAAAAGCAAAAAUAUCUAGUGAGCAGCAGACAUGUUGGUAACGAUGCAUUGCUAAUGGGGGAUGUUAGAGAAUAAUGCCAGAGACUAAAGUAAGCUGACAGAAACAUGACAGCAACUAAAAACACCCUGCAUUACCACACUGUUAUUAGGAAGACCAUUACUGAACACACCAGGAAACUGAGGCUACAGUGGUCACAGGUACGCCAAAUCUAGUAGUAGAAUACUUUAAAUAUUGCCUUGUCUGAUGAAUCUUUGCAAAUGCAGAUGUUAGGAUAAUCAUUUAGUGAAACCAAGAAAAAAAAAAUGGAUCCAUCCUGCCCCAUAUCAACUUCCUUGAGAAAGGGAGGCAUUGUUAUUUUAACAUUGUUAUUUUGGUAUCAGUAUUCUUUAGCAUAACAUUUUGCCACUGUAUGUCCAUUAUCCGGUAUGUAAUUUGCUGUCGCUUUAUAGAUAAUAAUAAUAAUAAUUAUUACCAUUUUGUUGAAUUUUGCUAAUGUAGUAUACCCUCUGUGAAUAAAUUCUACUCUUUCUCCAUAAAUAAAUUCUCCAUAUAUGUUUAGUUUGUAGUACCCUUCAUUGUUUAAUUACAAAAAAUUAUGUUGGUACCAGUGGUGUAAUGGAGUGGGGACAGGCAUUGGGCUCCUUAAUACCAGUUGAGUAUUGUUUAAAUUCCACAACCUUCCUGAGUAAUGUUGCUGACUAUACAUAUCACAUCCUCUAAUGGCUGUAUCUAGCAGGAUAACUCACCAUGGCGCAGAGACUUCAUCUAAAGAUGGUACUGCAAGAAAAAAUGAGUUCAGUGUAUUUCAGCUGCUUCUGCAGUCACUAUAUCUCAAUCCAAUAAGCACCUUUUGAACAACAACAACUGCAAACAAAUAUUCAGCAGCAACUGUGUGAUGCAAAACAUCAGCAUGAACCAAGAUCUCUAAUCAGUUCGGUACUGUCUGGUAUGCUAUUUUGAGUGUUUCCAUUAUGAAAGUGGCCCAUAUAACCGAAUCAAACCGAACCUGGGCCCCCUUUGGAUGUAGGUCCAUAGGAAAUGGUAUGGUACGGUUAGGUCGGAGCUACUGGCGUCACACUAUACAAUCCAUUUAUUGGCAGAUAGGAAAACGUCAAUGCUCACAACAAAUGACAUGCUAGGCAUUUCGUCUAAACCCUGCAUGCCCCCUGGCGGUCCGACUUGCAGUGGAAACACUCAUCUGAAUAGGCUGGACCAUUCUAACCCUUCCGAACCGUACCAACCAGUACCAUACUGCUCAGUGGAAACGAGGCAUAAGAAAUGAUUCCAGCUACUAUGUUUCAUUAACAAUUACUGGUAUUGUAAACUCAAUGGGAUGAAAGAUUGUUAACUGAAAAUAAACCACAUAAAAAAAACAAAAUAAGAAACAAAUUUAGUUGAGUCCCUCAUGUAUCCAACUUGUACAAAUAACCAAAAUACAUUCUAUCUGCAAUGCUAGUACACUAUGCAGUACCUAUAUUUUUAUAGUCUAUAUUGCUUUAGAGGUUUACCUGGUCACUGAACAGGUGAAUGUUUUUAUAGACCAACAAAUCAGCCAUAAGAACCAUUUACAGUCUACUGAAAAACUUGUUGAGAAAUAAGAGGUAAUCUUUUGUUUAACAGGCAAUGAUUGUGUAUCCAUUUCAUCUAAUCAUAUUUGACAUAUAUUGUUGUUGUUUUUUUUUGUAAAUACAUUUUUACUAUUUUUUUUCACUAUCUCAUAUAACAUAAAAUACAGUAGUUGUAAAAGAGACUUUAGGACUUUAAGAGAACAUAUGUGGUUUAAAAGGGUUUGCAGGUAAAAAUUAUGUAAACCCAUGUGUAGAUUAAGUAUGUUAAAACGAGUUUAGGGAAAUCCAGGAGAAGUAGCGAUUGAUACCUAGGAGGCCUAAGAUAGGCUUUUCUUGAAAUGUACCAGAACAACAUUUUACUGCCCUUAAGUGUGCUGCUUGGAGAUGGGCACCUUACAAAGGAUGAGGGUAAACUUGGCUGCAGAAGAAGGCCUAGAGAGAUCCUGUGAUCCAACACCAGCAUGGAUAGACUAUAGGUCUUAUCCAUUUUACCAAAUUAGUUAAUUGAAAAUGAAAUGUAAAUAAAUAACUCACAUAUAAAUAUUCAGCUCGGUUGUUUUCACAGCUUGGCUAUUUUGUCCUAAAUUAUGCAAUUUGGUUUUCAAUUUAUUACAAUUUGAUGUGUACAUUAUCAUUCACAUGUCUUUCCUAUAUAUUUUAUAUGAAGACUUAAAGGCUACAACUGAUGAUACUUAUAGAUGGGUAUACGAACAAAUGCAGGUAAAGACUAACAUUAGAAUCUACUGGAUUACCUGUUCACUGCUAUUUGGUAGAGGUUAGUGUCCGUGGUAAAUAAUGUUGCAUGUUUAUGAAGCAUUAAAUAGAUGACAUUAAACAUAUUUUAAACAAAGUUUGAGAAGCGGGAGUAAGGGUGAAUACUUUCUUGAUAACUGAGAAAAGGUGUGUUAAGGAAUACUGGGAUGAUGAAGCUUACAAAUAGUAAUCAUUAAUAAUUUCUUACUCAUUUCAAGAUUUCCCUGAAGGAUUUGGUCGAUUGUAAGAUAGCUAAGCUAUGGUGUCUUUGCGGAUCAACGCUGAUAAUUUGAUUGAUAAAACCAUCAUGCAUGUAUCAUACAUGAGAUCCUUUGUUUAGUUAGUUGGCAUUUUUAGAACUGUCAUUGAAAUAUUUUCAAAUCAUGAGAAUGGAUUAAUGUAUACAAGAAUUCUUAGCAGGAAUGAUAGAGUAUAUAAACAACAUCAGACACAAUAGGGUAUUUUGCUAAAUUUUCUGUCCUUAAAAGUGGUCUAAAAUACAAAAAGUGGGGCAAUCAUCAUGGAAACCAGUGUAGCCAUUAGGCACAUUCCAUUGGUGACUCCUCCCCUUUAAUAUUUUUGCAUAACUCUUUAAAACAGACAAAAUGUAUCAUAUGAUCUCAUAAUAAAAAAAGAGCCUUUCAAGAAUUGUAAUAGUCAAGGCUGAAGUCCAGGGUUAUCGUAUAUUCUGUCCAAUUUUCACAGCAAAUCAAGCUGAGUUAUGUGUAGUUGAACUUUCAUUACAGUAAUUAGCAUUUUUUUUGCAUUAUAAUUUAAAGCAAUGUGGCUGAUUUGAGCAAGUCAUGUAAUGAAUCAUUAUACCAUCCAGAGGCUUUUAAGAUAGUCAAAGUGAUUUUAAAGAGGUUGUUCUUGAAGGUCUAACUAGGAGGGUAAAAAUGUCUAAAUUAAAAGAACGCUAGCCUGCAAUCAUGCCACUAAAAAAUAGGUGCUCAGUAAGAAGUCCUAUUACAAUCAAAAGGGACAAGAAGUAUAUCUGUGUCUGGUGCACAGAAGCAGAGGAAAAUGAUGGAUACCUUGGGUAACUCGUUCCGUGCAAAAUCAAUCCUUCACUGUCAAUGUUAAAUGAACUAAUUUGUUCACAAAUCUGCUUAGUCAGUUUCAAACUAUACUCAAUUCAACCACAUUAGCAAAUCCUUUAAUCUUGACUAGUCCACUGAAUAAGAAAUUCGGAGAUGUGUUAAUAUGACUGGACAUAUCUUGCGGCAUAAGAAUUGAUUCUUUUAAUUACUUCCCAAUCAAAUUAUAGUACCCUUUUACUACUGAACUGCUGACCUGUUGAUAAAUGAAAUAGUUUCAGUUGUGAUUAAUGACCUUAGUUGACUAGAAUUUGUUCUCAUGAUUUCUUAAAAUUGUAGUAGGAAAAACUUUAUUUUUCGGUAUAAGGUAUUUUAGUACUGUGGCUUAAAUCCAUACAAAACAUAGUUAAAAUUUAGGAUUUUAUUAAAAAAUAAAUUAAAAUUUUUCCACUUUUUGCACCAGAGGAAAAUUUUCGCAUUCAUUCCAAAUGAUCUUUGAAAAUGCAUUAAUAAAUUAUCUGCGUUAUUUUAACAUACCUUCUGCAACUUUUUUUAUGACCGGUUACAUUAUGGAACCUCAAUGCACUAUUUUUGUAUUUUCCAGAGGUGUAAAACUGCAUCUUUCUUGCAGUUGCUGGUUUGUAUUGAAUAUUUCCUGCCAGAAGUGGCUGGCUUAUUGUCACCUGACAUCUCUUCCCUCAUACACACUAUUCGUCACCCUUCAGUUGUCACCUGAACUUUUCUUAAAUAUUCAAAACCCAUGCUGAGAUAUUGCCGGUUCAUCAGUUGACACGGACAGUUCUUUAAAGAAAUGGCAGUAUUCAGUCUCCUCGAGCUAUGAACAUAAAUCUUAGCAUAGUCUCAGAUUUUGGAUUAAUGAAUUAUAUGCUUUAUAAGUAAUUUUCAAAAAUAAGAAUUUGCCCUUGGAUUCACUUGGUUUAAAUUAUUUUGCUAAUCUUGCAGGUCAAAUCUUGAGGUCAAGUAGAAAAUCUAGGAUUUUCAAUUACAGUUGAAGGUUACAGACAGACAAGUACAUUGAUUUUGCUAAUAUGUGACAGGUGUGCACUUAACCCAUUAUGCUUUUUAGAUGCAUUGCAGAGUAUACAUGUGUUUCUUUAUGAUGUUGAAAUGGACUUUUCAAAUAUUGUGUAUAUGUUUAUAUGUUGUCUUAUUAAUUUCACUAUGAUCUAUAUCUGCCAUUUAAUUAGCUUCAUUAUUUAGAGAAGAAUUGUUAGUUAACAUUGCUUAUAUCCAUCCUUAAGUAACAGGAAGUGUUUGUGGUGUUUGCUUGCCUUAUGUGCUAUCACACAUUUUGAGGUAUUCUUUAUGUGUUAAAAAUAAUCCCUUUCAAGUUCUUUUCAUGUACUUUGAGACGUAUGAUUCCCUACUUUGCCAGUAGUCUUUUUACUUUUUCUGUUAGCUCUGCAGAAAAAUUGUGAUAUUUGAGGGCUAGUGUAAGUUAUACGGCCUGUUUCCACAGGUACUGGUAACAAGUAUUGCCAGACACCUGGUAUUGUAACUGCAUUGCCUUCUGAUUAACAUAUGGGUAUCUAUAUUGGACAUGAGAUUGUAAUUAUUCUAUUAGUUUUAUGUAAAUAAACCAUAGUAUGAAAAAUAAAAUCUAAAGUAACAUACAUAUAUGAUCAUUAGGUGUAAGCCCACCUACCACGUCAAUACAGCUAAUGGUCAUUGGAGUGUUACUAAAAACCUCCAGUUAUUUCAAUAUGCAUAGGGAUUUAGGAUAGUGCGCAAGUCACUCAUUUCUUUGUUUUUUAUUGUAUAUAUAGUCGAGGAUGUGUACUAUGGUAAUUGCUGCCACACAGGAGUAUUGGGAGUCUGAGCUUAUGAUUUAUUUUUGUGUAUUUGUUACAUACACAUAUACACAAAGUUGAAUCAGUGAUUUUUUGAAGUAUAUUCUCAUGGACUUAUUCUAUACUUUUAUCAUCAUGGGAGUUAACUCCCAUUUUAAUCAUGAUCCCAUGUGCUGCAUUUCUUUUAGGAUUGCAGGAAAGUAUCUCUUUCUAUGUGUAAAAAAUGGAAUUUAGUAGAAAAGUCAACAAUUUUCCUCUAUAAAUUAUAUAAGUAGCUUCAGUGAAUGAUACAGACAUUGAAUUGUGGACUUUGUCAUAUAAUCAUUUAAAAAGUAAACCUCAAAGUCCUUGGAAACCACAUGCAUAUUGCUGUAUGGGACCCAGGGCCAGCACGUCCAUAGGCCUUGUUGGGGCAAUGGCUCCAGGUGGCACUUUGACAGAAGCUGCAUUUUGCCGCUCCUGUCAAAUCAUAUUCCUAUGAUGCUUAUCACUCUCACAUGGGCGCUGCCAUACGGGGCAGGUGCCAGCAAAAUUAUUCCUUACCUCCCCUCCUCGCGUGUCUCCCCGGGAGAUGGGAAUUUCGCUUAAAUCGAGGGGGCGCUCUCAGCAGCUCUAUUGACUGUGUGGAGUGCCCCCACGUGAACACACGCCGGCGGGGAUAGAAACAAAGCACGCUGCCGGGCAGAAGCAGUAACUACACUGCUCAUCUACUUCCUGCUCGGCAUCGAGAGAGGAUGUGGACAGCCGGUAUGUGACUCCUGAUGAGCAAGGUACCACGAGGGCGCAGCAUCCAGGAACUGCCGCCUCCUGCCCUGUACCUGAAAGAGGUACUGUGCUGUGUGUAAUUGGCUGCUUGGAGUUCAUCCUACUCCCACCUGUGUAUGUAAAGGAGGGCUGCUUGUGUUGUGUUUGGUAUGUAUGAUCAAGGGGGCGCGCUCAGCAGUUCUACUGACUGUCAGGAGCAAUCCCCACGCGAACACACGCCGGCGGGGAUAGAAAUAAAGCACGCUGCCGGGCGGAAGCAGUAACUACACUGCUCAUCUACUUCCUGCCCGGCAUCGAGACAGGAUGUGGACAGCCAGUAUGUGACUCCUGACGAGCAGGGUGUCGCGAGGGCGCAGCAUCCAGGAACUGCCACCCCAUGCCAUGUGUCUGAAAGAGGUACUGUGCUGUGUGUAAUUGGCUGCUUGGAGUUCCUCCUACUCCCACCUGUAUAAGUAAGGGAGGGCUGCUUGUGUUGUGUUUGGUAUGUAUGAUCGAAGGGGCACUCUCAACAGCUCUACUGACUGUGUGGAGCGCCCCCACGUGAACACACGCCAGCGGGGAUAUAAACAAAGCACGUUGUUGGGCGGAAGCAGUAACUAAACUGCUCAUCUACUUCCUGCCCAGCAUCAAGACAGGAUGUGGACAGCCGGUAUGUGACUCCUGACGAGCAAGGUACCGCAAGGGUGCAGCAUCCAGGAACUGCCUCCUCCUGCCCUGUACCUGAAAGAGGUACUGUGCUGUGUGUAAUUGGCUGCUUGGAGUUCCUCCUACUCCCAUCUGUGUAUGUAAGGGAGGGCUACUUGUGUUGUGUUUGGUAUGUAUGUAUGUAUUAGGGUAUUAGGCAGGUUGUGGGUGCGUUAGGGCAGGGUGUGUGUCUGUGUUAGGAAGGGUGUGUCUGUGUGUGUUAGGUAGGGUGUGUGUGUUAGAGCAGGGUCUGAGUGUUUGUGUGUGUGGGUUAGGCAGAGUGUGUGUGUUAGGCAGUGUGUGUGUGUGUGCUAGGCAGUGUGUGUGUGUGUGUGUGUGUUAGGCAGUGUGCAUAUGUAUUAGGUAUGGUGUGUGUGUUUGGCAGUGUGUGAGUGUGUGUGUAUUAGGCAGUCUGUAUGUGUGAUGCAUCUAUCCUUAGUCUCCUUGAUCUUUUGGCUGCCUUUGACACUGUUAAUCAUCAACAGCUUCUUCUCAUUCUCCGUAAGCUCAGUCUACGUGAUACUGCUCUCUCCUGGUGCUCCUUCUACCUCUCCCAGCGCUUCUUCAGUGUUUCUUUCUCUGGCUCUGCCUCUUCUCCCCAACCCCUUUGUUGGUGUUCUACAAGGUUCUGUCCUUGGUCCCCUACUAUUCUCUAUCUAUACUGCCUCCCUUGGUAAACUCAUCAGCUCCUUUGUCUUUCAUUAUCAUUUAUAUGCAGAUGACACACAAAUCUACCUGUUCUCUCCUGAUCUCUCUCCACCCAUCUUAAAUUGUGGCUCUGAUUGCCCCACUGCGAUUUCCAGCUGGAUGACUGCUCACUUCCUUAAACUCAACCUGUCCAAAACAGAACUUCUGGUCUUUCCUCCCUCAAGUGUUGCUACUCCUGUGUCUGUCUCCCUCCAAGUCAAUGGCGCCACCAUCUCCUCUACUUCGCAGGCUCGCUGCCUAGGUGUUCUCUUUGACUCAGACCUCUCCUUCACCCCUCAUGUCCAGUUGAUCACCAAAUCCUGCCGCUUACAUCUUAAAAACAUAGCUCGCAUCCGCCCUUAUUUAACACCAGACACAGCUAAGGUGCUGGUCCAUGCCAUUGUUCUUUCUCGCCUUCUCAGUGGCCUUACGUGUUCCCAGAUUGCACCGCUGCAAUCUAUAAUGAAUGCGGUGGCAAGGCUCAUUUUUCUGUCCGCCCGCACCUCCCUCACCUCCCCCCUCUGUCAUUCCCUACAUUGGCUUCCAGUUAGAUAUAGGGAUCAAUUUAAGAUUCUGGUGCUUGCUUACAAGUCCCUACAUAAUGUUGUUUCAACCUACCUAUCCUCCCUAAUACACAAAUAUGUCACGUUGAGGCCCCUGCGCUCUGCCAAAGACCUAUGCCUAUCUUCUGUCUGUACUCCCACAUAUGAUGCUCGCCUCUAAGACUUAUCCAGGGCUGCACCUUUUCUGUAGAACUCCCUUCCCUUCUCUGUUAGACUUUCACCCAGUCUUCCCUCCUUCAAAAAAUCUUUGAAAACACACUUCUUCAGGAGAGCAUAUCAUUGAAACUGUUAGUGGGUUUUCACCACCCUCUCUCCCACGACUUCUCUCCUGCAACUGUCAAAAAUAACCCACUAAGUUCUCAGUGAUUACUUUUCUAGCAACCUAUUUCAUUAUCCCUACUUAUACCAUUUGUGUCACUGUACCCCCCUCCCUCUAGCAUGUAAGCUCAUUUAGCAGGGCCCUUAACCUCUCUGUUCCUGUGCGUCCAUUUGUCUGGUUAAAAUUACAUGUCUGUUAGUCCACCCAUUGUACAGUGCUAUGGAACAUAAUGGGCCUAACAUAAUGGAUAGGCGUGGUUUGGUGGGCAUGAUUUUGGUGAAGGGGGCAUCAUUUCAUCCUUUGACUCAGGCAGCAAAAUGUGUUGGGCCGGCCCUGAUGGGACCUAUACUUACAGGUUGCUCUCAUUCUGUAUCUGGAAAUAUACAAUGACCACAAUGAUGCGAAUCCUAACCCUAAAAUCUGAAUUAUGUUAUUUAUGCAGCCACCUUUUGUCCAAUCACUUCAAUGAGGAAGCUUUUAAUACUGACAACAAAUCAUAUGGUCUAUCACAUUCCAGCAUAAGUAUCCAAUUGUUAACUUUUUUCUGAAUUUGUGUGAAUGUUUUCAAAGCCUUGAAAAUCCCCCCAAAUAUCACACCAUUUUCCUUCGAAGGUAGAAAUCAUUAUUAAUGUAAACCCAGCUUAAUUUCUAUUGUCAUUCUUAAUCACACAAUUUCAAGAUUUUUAUUAUGCAAACAAGGUUAACAAAAUAAUCCAUCUUGGCCAGCCCCUGCCCCUUUAUAAAAAAAAAAAGAUAUAUGUGUCAUUAACCUGUUUAUUUUUUUCCAAAUCAAUACUGAUAUGUAGUUUUGGGUAUAAUGUGCAUGUGUUGUGCUGUUGAUUUUGCUCAAUAAUAUUAGUGUCAAAGGUACUUUUCCAGGCUUUAGUGGAAAAGUUUUUGUUGUAUUUUUUUCAAUUUUUUUUGUGUUUAAUUUGAUGUGUUUCCAAUGGUUUGUUGUUGUUUUUUGCUUACAUAGCUGUGGCAGGAAGUAAUCAAAUCAACGUGGUUGGUCAUACUCCUAGCGUGCAAUAUUAAAAUUAGCAUUGCUUUUUAUUUUUCCUUAUUUGCUUUUUUUUUCUAUUUCUUCUUCUCUGUGUUAAUUCAAUUAAUUCUCUGUUCACUUUUGCAUAUUUUUGUGAUCUGGUUUUCCCACUCACCUUUUCAUGAGUAAAAAAAUUAAAAAACACCAAGAAUUUCAUUGUUGUAAAAUAGUAAUGCUCAAGAUUUUCUAACCACUGUCAUACUGCCAUAGUCUUUCUACUUUAUCAAUGCCAUUGAGUAAAAGAGCCAAUUAAAAAAAAACAGAAUAAUCAUUGUACAGGUGAAAUUUAAAGUAUAUAUUGACGUAUUCUACCAAUGUUUGAACAAAGCUGUUCCUUUAUUAAACAGUAAAUUUCAGUAUUAAUGGCUGCCCAUUGUGAGAAUAGGAUCUACAUUUAAAUAUCAUUUAGUAUUCAUAGGCUUCUUCCUGAGUCAAUUUACUAUUACUUUUCUAAGAUUUUGUACAUGACACUUGGUGUAGUUAUACGUUAAAUGUCCUUUUAUUCAUUACAAUUACAAUUAUCUAUAUAGCGCCAACAUAUUCUGCAACUUUGAUGAACAUUUAAUUCCAACAAAAUAUGUAUAACAUAUGGGAACCGUAGGUCAACGGGUCCCAACAAACAAGCUUACAAUCUAAAAUCUUUUAUGUCUGAGUUAUUUCACACAUGUGCAAAUAUUAGUCAUUCAGGUCUGAACACUAUUUUCCAGCAUCCUACAAGUCCAUAUUGGUUGUUAUUGUUUAGAACUGGAUUUUUAGAGCAUUCUUGUAAAUAGACAGAAGCAAAUAUUACAGAGAUAAUAAGAAAAACAUAAGUAUGGAGAAUGCUUAGUUACUGCCAUGAUGUGCGUUGUCAGUACUCAUUGGCAAUGUGCAUUCAACCUGAAGAUUCCCUACUGAAGGGGAUAUACACUGAGUCAUAUACCAAGCUAGCAUUGUCAGUGAGAGUUAAACCAGCCACUGAUCCUAAUUCUAACACUGUUGUUGCAGCAUACCAAUUUUUAAUCGCUACAUGACUUGUCAACUUGAAUAUUCACUGCAUGGAUAAAUUAAAAAACGUCUAAAUAAGUAGACACCAGAGAACACUUGUUUCCAAUUAAUUUAACCUUAAUUUAAAAGAAAAAAAUGCUACGCUAAUGCAGACGGAUUUUGCUCCAUAGUUUAUUAAAUCCUCACGUUAUAAAUUAGUUGUAUAUUUCUUAAACUUCCUUUUAAAGGGGAUAUAGACUAUCCAGGCUUUAGUAAGUUAAUUUGUAAUGCCACGCAUGUACUCUUCAUAAAGUGAUAUUUUUAUCCUUGAAACUUCCGAUGUAAUUGAAGUUCUCAGCAGGCCACUUAGUUUAAGUAGUAUCCAUUCUUCCAUACAAAUCCCAUUCCAAUAGACUGAUGGCAUGACUUGACUAUAUUACAGCCAUGAUUGGUCCAGAACAUCUGUCAUUUGUUCUGUUUCUGAGAGCUGUCUUGUUCGUGAAGGCAACUCUUUACAUCAAGUCACGAAUCGGACUGUCAACAAUAAUUUCCAUUUCAGAUGUUUCAUGUUCAUAUUAGUAAAAUCAUAGAUUCCUUUAUCUACUGGAAAGAGAUACUAUCAUUGUUCAAGAGGGAAAUUUGUUUAAUUAACAGGCUGCUUAAAAAAAAAUACAUUCGGUAAACCAGAAUAUUCAAGAAUUUAACUGUUGGUAGUUGAUCCAAGGAGGACUCUGACUACCAUUUUGGUGUCUAGAAGGACAUUUUCUCAAAGGAAUAAGAUAACAUCAUCAAUGUAUUUACAUUUAUGAGCUGGAUUUAAGGUUCAUUAUUCAUAAGCAAAUAUUAAUCAGGAUCAGAAUUGGUGUGUGUAUGUGUAUAUUUAUCAUUUAGCUCUUAAGGUUUCAAGCAUUGCAUGGUAAUGAAUUUAUUUAUAUUUUUCAGCUCUCCAUUACAAAGGUCCACUGAGCAGCUUCAUGAGUACUUCUGAGUAAACAUCUGGAAGUGGACCAGAAUUUAUAAAAAAAA
Molecule: non-coding RNA, 40683 nt
Organism: Pelobates cultripes (western spadefoot toad)
Lineage: Eukaryota; Metazoa; Chordata; Amphibia; Anura; Pelobatidae
Source: the annotation of a GenBank genome assembly